GAUGAACGCUGGCGGCGUGCCUAAUACAUGCAAGUCGAGCGAACAGAUGAGAAGCUUGCUUCUCUGAUGUUAGCGGCGGAUGGGUGAGUAACACGUGGGUAACCUACCUAUAAGACUGGGAUAACUCCGGGAAACCGGGGCUAAUACCGGAUAAUAUUUUGAACCGCAUGGUUCAAUAGUGAAAGACGGUUUCGGCUGUCACUUAUAGAUGGACCCGCGCCGUAUUAGCUAGUUGGUAAGGUAACGGCUCACCAAGGCGACGAUACGUAGCCGACCUGAGAGGGUGAUCGGCCACACUGGAACUGGGACACGGUCCAGACUCCUACGGGAGGCAGCAGUAGGGAAUCUUCCGCAAUGGGCGAAAGCCUGACGGAGCAACGCCGCGUGAGUGAUGAAGGUCUUCGGAUCGUAAAACUCUGUUGUUAGGGAAGAGCAAAUUUGUUAGUAACUGAACAAGUCUUGACGGUACCUAACCAGAAAGCCACGGCUAACUACGUGCCAGCAGCCGCAGUAA
RNAcentral lists this ribosomal RNA (514 nucleotides) under uncultured bacterium. RNAcentral's name for it is "partial 16S ribosomal RNA". It matches the Rfam family "Bacterial small subunit ribosomal RNA", at positions 28 to 523 of the family's 1533-position model. The record is from RNAcentral.